RNAcentral lists this ribosomal RNA (253 nucleotides) under uncultured bacterium. RNAcentral's name for it is "partial 16S ribosomal RNA". It matches the Rfam family "Bacterial small subunit ribosomal RNA", at positions 524 to 776 of the family's 1533-position model. The record is from RNAcentral.
UACGUAGGGUGCAAGCGUUGUCCGGAAUUAUUGGGCGUAAAGAGCUCGUAGGCGGUUUGUCACGUCGGAUGUGAAAACCCGGGGCUUAACCCCGGGCCUGCAUUCGAUACGGGCUGACUAGAGUUCGGCAGGGGAGACUGGAAUUCCAGGUGUAGCGGUGAAAUGCGUAGAUAUCUGGAGGAAUACCGGUGGCGAAGGCGGCAUCCUGGACCGGCAUUGACGCUGAACAGCGAAAGCUAGGGGAGCAAACGGG